CCCCUAAGGCGAGGCCGAAAGGCGUAGUCGAUGGGAAACGGGUCAAUAUUCCCGUACCUCACUGUAUUGCGAUGGGGGGACGAAGAAGGCUAGGUGGGCCAGGCGUUGGUUGUCCUGGUGAAAGCCAGUAGGCUGGGAUCUCAGGCAAAUCCGGGAUCCCAAGGCCGAGAGGCGAGACGAAGGCACUACGGUGCCGAAGUCAUCGAUGCCACGCUUCCAGGAAAAGCCUCUAAGCUUCAGAUACAGUGGGACCGUACCCCAAACCGACACAGGUGGUCAGGUAGAGAAUACCCAGGCGCUUGAGAGAACUCGGGUGAAGGAACUAGGCAAAAUGGUGCCGUAACUUCGGGAGAAGGCACGCCGCGUUAGUGUGAAGGCCCUCGCGGCUGGAGCACGAGGNGCUUGAGAGAACUCGGGUGAAGGAACUAGGCAAAAUGGUGCCGUAACUUCGGGAGAAGGCACGCCGGCGUAGUGUGAAGGGCCUCGCGCCUGGAGCACGAACCGGUCGAAGAUACCAGGUGGCUGCAACUGUUUAUUAAAAACACAGCACUCUGCAAACGCGCAAGCGGACGUAUAGGGUGUGACGCCUGCCCGGUGCCGGAAGGUUAAGUGAUGGUGUUAGCCCUCGGGCGAAGCUCUUGAUCGAAGCCCCGGUAAACGGCGGCCGUAACUAUAACGGUCCUAAGGUAGCGAAAUUCCUUGUCGGGUAAGUUCCGACCUGCACGAAUGGCGUAAUGAUGGCCACGCUGUCUCCACCCGAGACUCAGUGAAAUUGAAAUCGCAGUGAAGAUGCUGUGUACCCGCGGCUAGACGGAAAGACCCCGUGAACCUUUACUAUAGCUUCACACUGGACGCUGAUGUUGCUUGUGUAGGAUAGCUGGGAGGCUAGGAACCCCGGACGCCAGUUCGGGCGGAGCCAACCUUGAAAUACCAGCCUGGCAUCAUUGGCGUUCUAACUCAGGUCCGUGAUCCGGAUCGAGGACAGUGUGUGGUGGGUAGUUUGACUGGGGCGGUCUCCUCCCAAAGCGUAACGGAGGAGCACGAAGGUACCCUCAGCACGGUCGGAAAUCGUGCAUUGAGUGCAAGAGCAUAAGGGUGCUUGACUGCGAGACAGACACGUCGAGCAGGUACGAAAGUAGGUUCUAGUGAUCCGGUGGUUCUGUAUGGAAGGGCCAUCGCUCAACGGAUAAAAGGUACUCCGGGGAUAACAGGCUGAUACCGCCCAAGAGUUCACAUCGACGGCGGUGUUUGGCACCUCGAUGUCGGCUCAUCACAUCCUGGGGCUGAAGUCGGUCCCAAGGGUAUGGCUGUUCGCCAUUUAAAGUGGUACGCGAGCUGGGUUUAGAACGUCGUGAGACAGUUCGGUCCCUAUCUGCCGUGGGCGUUGGAUGUUUGAGAAGAGCUGCUCCUAGUACGAGAGGACCGGAGUGGACGCACCUCUGGUGUUCCGGUUGUCACGCCAGUGGCAUUGCCGGGUAGCUACGUGCGGACGGGAUAACCGCUGAAGGCAUCUAAGCGGGAAGCCCCCUUCAAGAUGAGACAUCCCCGAGGCCUCGAGCCUCCUGAAGGGCCCAGCGAGACCAGCUGGUUGA
This 1592-nucleotide ribosomal RNA is filed under the name Billgrantia lactosivorans. RNAcentral describes it as "bacterial LSU rRNA". It matches the Rfam family "Bacterial large subunit ribosomal RNA", at positions 1388 to 2856 of the family's 2925-position model. Lineage: Bacteria; Pseudomonadati; Pseudomonadota; Gammaproteobacteria; Oceanospirillales; Halomonadaceae. The record is from RNAcentral.